GGGUGUAAAAAGUUUUGAUCCACCUCUCGUGAAAAAGACAAAUUUCCGUCGAUUCAGCUAGAAGCGGGUCAAAUUCGAACUACAGGUGCCUCAUAGCUUGCUAUUUAUUUUUUCCAAAAAUCAUUUCUAGGUACAUAAGUAUCUAUUUAAUCAGAGAAACACCAAAAAAAUUCCAAGAUUCAACCACUAUCUAGGAACGGUCAUUCCCGCUGUUUUGACCGCAUUUUGAAACGGGCAUAAAAAAUUCAAAAAAAAUCAAAAAAUUGGGAAACCUUCGCAUUGUGUCAUUAUAUGUGGCCAAGUUCCUAGGAAAAAUAACAAACUUUUAAUACAACAAUUAUUUUAAAAAAAUGUUCUCAGAAACGAGCUAUCAUGUGUGGAGAUCAAUGGCUUUCAAGCCAAAUGAUCAAUCUUAUGGUCACAUUCAUGGCAUAGUUUGUUCAAAUGAUCUCAUAUUGUGCACAAGGGUGCAUACUGGAAUGGCAAACAAUGUUGCCUAAGGAAGUUUUCAUUUUCUUUGGACGAAAAAACCAUUUUCCAUUUUUCCAGUGCCUAAAAGAAGGUUUUUUUGUGAAGGACCUCCAAAAUAUUUGUUGCAAAAUUGGACCAAAUCAUUUUUCAAAAAUACUAGGACAUAUUCUAUGCAUAGUUGACAAAAUGGUUGGGUGUAAAAAGGUUUGAUCCACUUCUCGUGAAAAAGACAAAUUUCCGUCGAUUCAGAUGGAAGCGGGUCAAAUUUGAACUGCAGGUGCCUCAUAGUUUGCUAUUUAUUUUUUCCAAAAAUCAUUUCUAGGUACAUAAGUAUCUAUUUAAUCAGAGAAACACCAAAAAAAAUUCCAUGAUUCAACCACUAGCUAGGAACGGUCAUUCCCGUUGUUUUGA
This 882-nucleotide long non-coding RNA is filed under the name Triticum aestivum (bread wheat). RNAcentral's name for it is "long non-coding RNA (TAES_LNC027837)". The record is from RNAcentral. Lineage: Eukaryota; Viridiplantae; Streptophyta; Magnoliopsida; Poales; Poaceae.